Molecule: ribosomal RNA, 254 nt
Filed under: uncultured bacterium
Lineage: Bacteria
Description: partial 16S ribosomal RNA
Rfam family: Bacterial small subunit ribosomal RNA
Source: RNAcentral
UACGGGGGGAGCAAGCGUUGUUCGGAUUUACUGGGCGUAAAGGGCGCGUAGGCGGCCAGCACAAGUCAGUUGUGAAAUCUCCGAGCUUAACUCGGAAAGGUCAACUGAUACUGUGCGGCUAGAGUGCGGAAGGGGCAACUGGAAUUCUUGGUGUAGCGGUGAAAUGCGUAGAUAUCAAGAGGAACACCUGCGGCGAAGGCGGGUUGCUGGGCCAACACUGACGCUGAGGCGCGAAAGCCAGGGGAGCAAACGGG